RNAcentral lists this transfer RNA (462 nucleotides) under Chroococcus sp. CMT-3BRIN-NPC107. Its description in RNAcentral is "coccoid cyanobacterium CMT-3BRIN-NPC107 16S-23S ribosomal RNA intergenic spacer". The stretch from base 223 to 295 matches the Rfam family "tRNA". Lineage: Bacteria; Bacillati; Cyanobacteriota; Cyanophyceae; Chroococcales; Chroococcaceae. The record is from RNAcentral.
UAAGGGAGACCGAACCCAUCGAUAACUGAAAAUCAAAAUAGGUUUAGAUGAGGUCAACCUAGGUCGUGGCGAAGCAAGUGAGGCAAUUCAACUAUAAUUAAGGUUUGGGGGCUAUUAGCUCAGGUGGUUAGAGCGCACCCCUGAUAAGGGUGAGGUCCCUGGUUCGAGUCCAGGAUGGCCCACCUAAAGAAGCAACAAGCAAAAAACUUGUCGCCAUUCAAAGGGGGUUUAGCUCAGUUGGUAGAGCGCCUGCUUUGCAAGCAGGAUGUCAGCGGUUCGAGUCCGCUAACCUCCACCUGAAGCCGAGCAAUAAAUAGUUUAUUCAGCACCGUGACUAAGUUACUAAUAUUAGUCAGAAUGCUGGAUUAGUGUCCAGUCAGAACCUUGAAAACUGCAUAGAGAAAGCAAAUAGCAGGCAGAUCCAAAGAGGGUAAAACCUCAAUGUAUCUGACAAAAGAAACU